This 64-nucleotide transfer RNA is filed under the name Megalurothrips usitatus (bean blossom thrips). RNAcentral's name for it is "tRNA-His". Lineage: Eukaryota; Metazoa; Arthropoda; Insecta; Thysanoptera; Thripidae. The record is from RNAcentral.
AUUUUGUUAGUUUAUCUAAAAUGUUGAUUUGUGGAAUCAAAGAAAUAGUUGCAUAUACAAAAUC